AUCCAGAAGAGGAUUGGGAGAAUAUCAUGUGGUCAGAUGAAACCAAAUAGAACAUUUUGAUAAAAACUCAACUUUAUGAGGAGAAU
Thalassophryne amazonica is the source of this 86-nucleotide long non-coding RNA. RefSeq lists it as uncharacterized. The record is from RefSeq and is a predicted model, not a curated record. Lineage: Eukaryota; Metazoa; Chordata; Actinopteri; Batrachoidiformes; Batrachoididae. The transcript has 3 exons.